CUGCAUCGUUGUUCUAUUUAGCUAGCUUCGAAAAGAUUAUCGUAGCUGUCGAAAUGGAAGGCAUCAGGUUAUUGGCUGCGUCUUACUAUGAGGUUAAUCAGAAGUUGCGUCUAAUUACCUGCUUUCACGUGUGUACACGUUCUGGCGCUCCUAAACUAUCCCUGAAUCUGAACAUUCGCCUAAUUGUAUGGUACGCAAGUUCACCCCAAAUUAAGUUUUCACUACACCGGAUGAAUCUGGAUAACAGAGACGUACAUGCACCGGCUAACCGAAAACAUAUUCUAUUGUAGACGCAGAUUAUUUAUUAGUUCUUUCGUGAAAUUUAAAAUGCUGUAGCUUGAUAUUACUGAAGUGCUUGAUAGGUUGCUUUCACGUUUACUCUGAGAGGAUGAUGCGGAUGUAGCUAGCAAUUGUACAUUGUCCUUCGCAUGCGGAUCAGAACACAAGGUGAACUCGUUUCUCUCUAAGUCCAUCUGCGAAAUAUUUGAGAAUUUGAUACUGUAUCAUAUUUGUCACAUUAUUACUUUCAGACUAGAGAUAUUUGAACUAUACGGAU
This 556-nucleotide long non-coding RNA is filed under the name Oryza brachyantha (malo sina). Its description in RNAcentral is "long non-coding RNA (OBRA_LNC001114)". The record is from RNAcentral. Lineage: Eukaryota; Viridiplantae; Streptophyta; Magnoliopsida; Poales; Poaceae.